GAUAUUGCCAUCAAAUGUAGCUCAACGCCACCACCACCAACAACACGGGUGUUUUCGAA
RNAcentral lists this transfer RNA (59 nucleotides) under Diaphanoeca grandis. Lineage: Eukaryota; Choanoflagellata; Acanthoecida; Stephanoecidae. The record is from RNAcentral.